Molecule: long non-coding RNA, 602 nt
Organism: Gastrolobium bilobum
Lineage: Eukaryota; Viridiplantae; Streptophyta; Magnoliopsida; Fabales; Fabaceae
Exons: 4
Source: RefSeq, a predicted model, not a curated record
CUAGCUCACAUCUUCCUCUCGUCUCCGCUCACACCGUCGGUCGAGCAUCAAGCUGCAAAGCUUGCAUGCAUUCCAUUCUCCGUCUACUUCAAGCCAUAAGUUCCUUGAAUAGAUAAUAAGCCACCUAGCAUUUUUCUUCUCCUUCGUUCAGCCGAGCCACAAACACCAACGAGCUGAUUAACUGAUCCUUGGAGAGCAGAUUAAACCUCUUGCAUGUCACUGAAACUGUAAGCUCCUUGAGCAGGGAGCAAAGUACAUAGCUCAGCGUUUCCUCUUUUUCCUUGCUGGUCGGAGACUUCCUUCAAGGAGGUUCUGUCUUGUUAGUCAUCUCCUCCAUUGCAUGUGCGUGGGAUAGAGUUCUGGAAGGAAAAGUUGACUCCUUGGCCGAUUGGAAGCUGUUGUGUGUGUAGAAUCAAGAAACCGUCCGCGAACUUCUAAGAAAGUGGACUGAAUUGGUGAUACGUUGUUUAAAAAGUUGUAAACGUCACAGGAGGACGCAAAAGCAUAUGAAGACAUGAUUUUUGGAUAUUUGCUGUUAUGUGCUGCUGUUUGGACUUUGCUAUUGCCAUUAUUUGGUGGAUGACUGUAUUAAUUUAAGGAGU